CGCGUAGGCGGCCUGCUAAGUCGAACGUGAAAUCCCUGGGCUCAACCCAGGAACUGCGUCCGAUACUGGUUGGCUUGAAUCCGGGAGAGGGAUGUGGAAUUCCAGGUGUAGCGGUGAAAUGCGUAGAUAUCUGGAGGAACACCGGUGGCGAAGGCGACAUCCUGGACCGGUAUUGACGCUGAGGCGCGAAAGCCAGGGAGCAAAC
This 205-nucleotide ribosomal RNA is filed under the name uncultured bacterium. Its description in RNAcentral is "partial 16S ribosomal RNA". It matches the Rfam family "Bacterial small subunit ribosomal RNA", at positions 568 to 773 of the family's 1533-position model. The record is from RNAcentral.